GCACUUUUAAACCUUCACCCUCCACCCACUAAUUUAUACCUGCUUUGCUGGUAAGUCACAAUUCAGAACAAUCAAUAGAUGGAGAAUUGCUCCACACGAUGUCUGCAAGUUGUUUUCCUAUAAAUAUUUUCACAGUUAAGUUUUCAGUUGUUCUUUUAUUUGUUAGACUAGAAAACAAAUGUUUAGUGCUUGUGUUGCCCUCACUCAUGUCUCUUACUGAGUACAAGCCAAGAGUCCCGUCUUCAAACCCAAGGCAGACAGUAUGGUCAUCUUCAGACAUGGCUACAGCAGUUGGCAUUUUACCAAGAUGGCACUGGCCAGUCUUCUCUCCAUUAAACGCUUUUAUAACAUUCAGGAUAGGGUUUGUAUGGAACUGACAAUUGCAUUUAGAUUGAUUAACAUGACAAACGUAAAGAAAAUAUUUACCACUUUUAGUUAACUGUUGAUGCAAAAUUAUGUUUGGCUCAUGAAUAAGCCCUAGUUGGCCAUCACGUGUGUUGAAAACAUGGACAGUUUUAUUCACAGUCAAGACUAUGGUGUUUCCAUUGGAUGAAACUUGAAAUGAGCUUUGUGGUUGCGAAAAACUGAUUGGUAGUUUGACUUGGUGGCAAACUGUUUCUUCUACCACAUCCCACGUAUAAAUGUCUCCAACAGAAGUCAUGAUAACUAGGAAAUCUGGUUGACUUUUCAGACACUGAAAGUUGACUAUGAUACUUGUCUUCUCCAUGGCUAGAUGGAACUCCUUAGUGACUAAUCCUGACCAAAGGCUGACGGCAAGAAGUUUGUCAUCAUGCAAGCCAACAAGGAAGGUGCCUUGAGGAGUAACGACUGGCGAGCUGAGAUAAAUAUGUAUUUUACACACAACGUGUCCUGUUGUAGGAUUCCAAACUCUUGAAGCUCCAUCUUUGCACAGAGUAAUCACCAUAUUGGAGAUAGGGGCUGUAAGUAAUUGUGAUACAGAAUUGCCUUGGAUGUAAUGGAUAUUUUCUCCAGUUUCAGUUACCCAAACAUAGAGGUCUCCAGACACAACAGAUGUAACUAGCAGCUCCCCAUUUCCUGUUAAUAUAAUCAUUUCUACAAGAUCUCCAUGAGAAAAAAUGUUCCUGAUCUUGCAACACAAGAUAUCCCAUUUGCACACCAUAUCAGAACCAUCAGUAGUGUAGGCUGCGCUUCCUUGGGGACAAAGAAGUAAAAACUCAACUGGGCGGCCUGUUUGGGAGAAAGCAUUUGAGGAGACCACUGCUUUUAUGUCCCACAACAUCAAGAAACCUCCUGUUGUGACUGCUACUAAGCUUCUUAGAUAUAGGCACUUGGUAAGCAAACUGAUAUCUCCAUCUUCUAGUUGGAGAAUAGAAAUGCACUGUCCACUCUCUCGGUUCCACACAAAUACUGUGGAACAAUUUUCCACAGCUGCAAUGAUUUCUUCGCAACUGAGGGAAAAUACACAGCAAAUAAAUGUACAAUCUUUAGGAGGCUUAAAAUGACUACUUUCCCAGUCCACUGUUCUCCAGACAUCUAUGGUUUUUGAUCUACAAAUUAAUAGCCAUUCUGGAGUGAUAUUUGAUGAGAUUAUCUCAUUAUUUUCCUCCAGAGUGAAAAGUUCAUCUACAAGUUGAGGUUCUGUUGGAUCAUCAAUGUCCCAGACAUUUAUAUUGCUUGCUUUGUCAAUAAUAUACACUAGAGAAUCUUGUAUAUAAACAUAACUUAUUGAGUGCAUUGAAAUAUUCAGAUCCAAAGAAAGAUGAAUUUUAAGAGAAAAAUCCAGAUUCUCGCAAAUUAAAAUUGUACUUGUUUGUCCUAAAAUUGUAUAUUUCCC
Non-coding RNA from Pelobates cultripes (western spadefoot toad), 1816 nucleotides. The record is from the annotation of a GenBank genome assembly. NCBI's taxonomy places the organism in Eukaryota, Metazoa, Chordata, Amphibia, Anura, Pelobatidae.